RNAcentral lists this ribosomal RNA (526 nucleotides) under uncultured Bordetella sp. Its description in RNAcentral is "bacterial SSU rRNA". It matches the Rfam family "Bacterial small subunit ribosomal RNA", at positions 1004 to 1533 of the family's 1533-position model. Lineage: Bacteria; Pseudomonadati; Pseudomonadota; Betaproteobacteria; Burkholderiales; Alcaligenaceae. The record is from RNAcentral.
AGAUUUGGCAGUGCUCGCAAGAGAACCGGAACACAGGUGCUGCAUGGCUGUCGUCAGCUCGUGUCGUGAGAUGUUUGGGUUAAGUCCCGCAACGAGCGCAACCCUUGUCAUUAGUUGCUACGAAAGGGCACUCUAAUGAGACUGCCGGUGACAAACCGGAGGAAGGUGGGGAUGACGUCAAGUCCUCAUGGCCCUUAUGGGUAGGGCUUCACACGUCAUACAAUGGUCGGGACAGAGGGCAGCCAACCCGCGAGGGGGAGCCAAUCCCAGAAACCCGAUCGUAGUCCGGAUCGCAGUCUGCAACUCGACUGCGUGAAGUCGGAAUCGCUAGUAAUCGCGGAUCAGCAUGUCGCGGUGAAUACGUUCCCGGGUCUUGUACACACCGCCCGUCACACCAUGGGAGUGGGUUUUACCAGAAGUAGUUAGCCUAACCGCAAGGGGGGCGAUUACCACGGUGUGGUUCAUGACUGGGGUGAAGUCGUAACAAGGUAGCCGUAGGGGAACCUGCGGCUGGAUCACCUCCUUA